This 237-nucleotide ribosomal RNA is filed under the name Triticum aestivum (bread wheat). RNAcentral describes it as "partial small subunit ribosomal RNA". The record is from RNAcentral. Lineage: Eukaryota; Viridiplantae; Streptophyta; Magnoliopsida; Poales; Poaceae.
CAAUAUCCGGCUCUAUACAACAUUGUGCGCCACAAGGGUGAUACUAUCGCCACGGUAAUGGAAUCAUUUCCGCCAAAUGUGACGUUCAGAAGAGAUUUAAUUGGACCCAAACUCCAAUCGUGUAACGUCCUGCUCCAGCGGUUAUCCACGGUGCACCUGUCACACGGGUCUGAUAUAUUUCGAUGGAACCUUCAUGGGAAUGGAAAUUCUCAGUGGUUUCUAUGUAUAGAGCGUUAA